AUGUGGGGAAAUGAAAUCUCUUCUGAUUCCCACCAGAGUUUGUGGAGGGUCUCUGCAGCUACGACUGCCACCCAGUCUGUCUGGAUCAGGGCUGGAGAACUUUCUGGUGGAGGAAACAAUGAAAACAGUGUGGCCGCGCCCACCCUCACGGUCCUGCCCCCCUCCAGCGUGGAGCUGCAGCAGGGGAAGGCCACACUCGUGUGUUUGGCCAACAAGGGCUUCCCCUCAGACUGGAGGCUGAGCUGGAAGGUGGACGGGAGCAGCUGGAGCUCGGGGGUUAGCCAGAGCCCCGGGCUUCUGCAGAAGAACGACGGCCUCUACAGCUGGAGCAGCACCCUGACCCUCCAGGAGGACCAGUGGCUAAAGAAGACAGUGACCUGUGAGGCCACCAAGGACUCCCAGCCUCCUGUCAGCCAAACCCUGAGGAGAGAGCAAUGCACUGGGCAGUGAGCGUCCACGCGUGUGUUGGAGCUGCUAGAGCUCCUCUUGAUCUUCAGUGAGCUCAAACAUGGCUCUGCUUAAUGCUCUGAUCUUCAUCUCAUCACUUCAUCAUCACAAUAAAGAGCUUCAGUAUUAAUAUCUA
Molecule: non-coding RNA, 583 nt
Organism: Pygocentrus nattereri (red-bellied piranha)
Lineage: Eukaryota; Metazoa; Chordata; Actinopteri; Characiformes; Serrasalmidae
Source: the annotation of a RefSeq genome assembly